CAUCGGGCGAAAAGAGUUAAUCAAUGUAUGGAUUUGAGUUGCUUUUUCUGAUGACCAUCCUCGAAAGUCAUGCACAGUGGACUUGUUGUUUCGAUACGUGGCUCUUCAUUUUGUGGAGCAUCUCGUCAAGUUCGAAGUAUGGUGGUUGAGAUGGAGCAUGCUCUAUCUCCACUUUAUUUUGGAUCAACUGAUCCUUGGUCAAUCGGGGAUAAGCUGACUAACCAUGAUCUUUUUCGUCUGGAUCUGUGCUGAAAACUAUAGAUUAUACUUUAGCGGCCCUUCGGCCAGAGCUGGCAUGCUAACAGCUGUCGAACUUUACGGCUCCAUUAAACGAGGAUUAGCCGAAGAACAUCAGAUUUCGCUUUGGUUUGCACUGUGAACUGUAGCUUAUACUCUAGCGGUCCUUCGACC
Molecule: long non-coding RNA, 411 nt
Filed under: Elaeis guineensis (African oil palm)
Lineage: Eukaryota; Viridiplantae; Streptophyta; Magnoliopsida; Arecales; Arecaceae
Description: long non-coding RNA (EGUI_LNC034058)
Source: RNAcentral